UGACCGUAAGGAGCGGCCUAGGGCGAAACUGGUAAUUGGGGCUAAGUCGUAACAAGGUAGCCGUACCGGAAGGUGCGGCUGGAACACCUCCUUU
Molecule: ribosomal RNA, 94 nt
Filed under: Segatella copri
Lineage: Bacteria; Pseudomonadati; Bacteroidota; Bacteroidia; Bacteroidales; Prevotellaceae
Description: partial 16S ribosomal RNA
Rfam family: Bacterial small subunit ribosomal RNA
Source: RNAcentral